AUGACUACUCUUAUCGGUAUGGCUCCUGCCGAGGCUGAUGUAGAGAAGGGAAGGAAAGCAACCAAAGUUGCUUUCACGUGGAUUCAAAGGAAGUUUGCGCAUUGCCCUGCAGAUGCCACUGAUGAUGUGAUCCAGCCACAUGCUCGUGUCUAUAUGUGGUACGUUGUCUCGAGGACUUUGUUUCCUGACUCCAUAGGCAAGAAUGCUCCAUGGAUGUGGCUGAAGGCGUUGACCAUCUUCUAUAGCAGAUGGAGCUGGGGUUCAGUGACUCUUGCCUACUUGUACCGAUAG
Molecule: ribosomal RNA, 291 nt
Filed under: Triticum aestivum (bread wheat)
Lineage: Eukaryota; Viridiplantae; Streptophyta; Magnoliopsida; Poales; Poaceae
Description: partial small subunit ribosomal RNA
Source: RNAcentral